This 285-nucleotide ribosomal RNA is filed under the name uncultured prokaryote. RNAcentral's name for it is "partial 16S ribosomal RNA". It matches the Rfam family "Bacterial small subunit ribosomal RNA", at positions 524 to 819 of the family's 1533-position model. The record is from RNAcentral.
CACGUAGGGGCGAGCGUUGUUCGGAAUCAUUGGGCGUAAAGGGUGCGCAGGCGGCCGUCCAAGUCUGGUGUGAAAUACCCCGGCCCAACCGGGGGGACGCGCUGGAAACUGGAUGGCUUGAGUACAGGAGGGGGAGUCGGAAUUCCAGGUGUAGGGGUGAAAUCUGUAGAUAUCUGGAAGAACACCGGUGGCGAAGGCGGACUCCUGGCCAUGUACUGACGCUGAGGCACGAAGGCGUGGGGAGCAAACAGGUUUAGAUACCCGUGUAGUCCCUGAGCGGGCUGG